CGGACAGAAGCCCGCUGGCUAGGGUGUUUAGCUGUUAACUAAUUUUUUGUGGGAUCGAGGCCCGCCUGUCUA
RNAcentral lists this transfer RNA (72 nucleotides) under Ctenosaura palearis. Its description in RNAcentral is "tRNA-Asn". Lineage: Eukaryota; Metazoa; Chordata; Lepidosauria; Squamata; Iguanidae. The record is from RNAcentral.